RNAcentral lists this long non-coding RNA (272 nucleotides) under Sorghum bicolor (sorghum). Its description in RNAcentral is "long non-coding RNA (SBIC_LNC008798)". Lineage: Eukaryota; Viridiplantae; Streptophyta; Magnoliopsida; Poales; Poaceae. The record is from RNAcentral.
GGACCUCAGCUAUAGAAAAGGGUUGGUCUUGACCUAUUGCAAUCAACUCCGCACAUAGAUCAUAAUUAGGGGCAAAGAAAGGACUUGUUGACUCCCAUGGUCUAUGGCUGGUCUCUGCAGGUGCAAAAAAUUCAAUAAUAGGUGUGGAAUUUGAGUUGUCCAUAAAGAUGGAAAAAAUAAAAAGAUAAAAGAAUAAAAGUAUAUAAGUAUAAUACAAGAUAAUAGCAAGACUAAAAGUUAUCUCAGCAAACUGUCUUUCUCCCUGGCAACAG